UAAUACGUAGGUGGCAAGCGUUGUCCGGAAUUACUGGGUGUAAAGGGAGCGUAGGCGGGACUGCAAGUCCAGUGUUAAAUCUAUCGGCUCAACCGGUAGCUGCGCUGGAAACUGUGGUUCUUGAGUGAAGUAGAGGCAGGCGGAAUUCCUAGUGUAGCGGUGAAAUGCGUAGAUAUUAGGAGGAACACCAGUGGCGAAGGCGGCCUGCUGGGCUUUUACUGACGCUGAGGCUCGAAAGCGUGGGUAGCAAACAGGAUUAGAUACCCUGGUAGUCCACGCCGUAAACGAUGAUUACUAGGUGUGGGGGGUCUGACCCCUUCCGUGCCGGAGUUACACGAAU
Molecule: ribosomal RNA, 340 nt
Filed under: uncultured Clostridium sp.
Lineage: Bacteria; Bacillati; Bacillota; Clostridia; Eubacteriales; Clostridiaceae
Description: bacterial SSU rRNA
Rfam family: Bacterial small subunit ribosomal RNA
Source: RNAcentral